GUACGGCGUGCACCACAAGAGAUCUGCUCUGCCUCGAGGAGUUUUCGCAGCCAUCCAGGAGACAGACAUCACAUAAUAAACGAGCGAAUACGCAGACAACUGCCAAGCAUGGUCCACUUGGUCAAGGCAAAGUACAGGGGGAUGUUGAGGGACUGUAAGUGCGCCGCAGUGAGAAAAGGCUUCUCUGAAAAAAGAGACAUGGAACUCAGUCUGGAUGUUGAGUCCGGAAAAGCCACCAGAAGAGGCGAGAGGACAGCGUGAAGGCUUAAGGUCUCACAUCAGAAGCCACAUUCCAACCAGAGCCUGAGCUCCAGGCACCAUGCACCGAGCUGUCAAUGGAAGCAAUAGCCCCACGGAGAAACAGCCAUGAAGCUCCAGGAAGCCCAGGCUCAAGGACUACCACGUUCCUCUCACAAACAGGCAAAACAGGCUGAAGUGGGAACAGCAAGAUUUGACAGAAGACCUCUGGGUCAAAUCGGCAAGGCCUUCCGCAGAAAAGCCGAGUACGACAACUCACAGACCAAGAGCCCCACCACCCGGAAGUGGUUCUUAAAGCGCACAGGCGUGAGAAAACACAGAUGGAGUGGAACAGGCAAUGUUGUAGCUGUACGCAGAAGACAUCACACCACGCUGGAGAUUUUUAGAAGUCUUGGAAGACCUCAGGAUACAGAGAGGGAAACUGACGCCACACAGAAGCUGCUAGUAAAAGUGGAAGCAGGCAAUACUCCCUAGUUUCUCACUUCUCUAUCAGCCAUCCCCACCCCGAAUACUGCCAGUUUAACUCAGGAGAAAAGCAGCUUGCAAGACACUUAAUGCCAUGUCUUAUGAGACUCAGCAGUGCUGGAUUGCCUCCCUCCCCCCACCCAUGGCAGGAGAACAUCUGUGAACUGGAAGGUGACAGAUCUGGAUGGACUCUACCUCUGCUGUUUACCUUGACUCUGAGACCCCUGUUCUGACAGUGUUACCUUGGGCUCUUAACUACUCCUGGUUUCUGUUUCAGUUUCACUUUGGUGCCAAGGGAAUAGUGACCAUCAUCAAAGGAACUUACCCACCUGACAGCAGGAAUGUCCUAACCUCAUCGGGCUCAAAUCUACCUCUUCCCAACCCCGCCAGAGCAAGGCCACUCUCCUAAGCACAACCCCAGCCUCCACUCCAGAGGUUCCCACCGUGGGCUGCCCAUCUUCCUAUAAAUAUGGAGGCAAUUAGCACAAAGCCCAGGUCUGAAGGGAAUUCUCAGAGCCAUGUUCAUCUUCAUAAUGUUGAAGAAAACUCCCCAGGAGACCUGAGUCAUGGCUGCGGCGGGCAGACUGCUUCUGAUCUGAUUAACUGAGCUCCACAAGAGGCACGCACCCUCCCUCCAGACCUGCUCUGAGCCGACACCACUCUGGAAUUCUCUCCAAUGGAGGCUUUCCCCGGGCUGCCACUAACACCCCACAAAACAGGAGAAAACUGGUCCUUUCCUGCCAAGGCAUCAGUAGUGUCCAACGUCCCCAAGUCUGUGCUUCUUGUAAAUUCCAAAAUCAAAUGGCAAGGCAUCACUCCAUCAGCAAAUAUUUACUUUCAUAGGGCAUCAUGGGAAAGGCCAAAAAGAUUCACUCUAUCCCUUUGCAGCUGAAUCCCCAAAAGGACAUAAGGCUUCCAGAUGUGUGCACCCAUACCACACAUGGGUGGGAUUUCUGGAGGGGACUGCCUUCUGGUAGCCCCACUCUCUCGUCUGAGCUGGCUGCCCUACCCAAUGGGUGUCAAGUGGAUCCCACUGCUUUAGUUAUAAAGUCAUAAACUCUCAAGGUUGAAAGAAACCUCAAUGAUUAUUUCUCCCACCCCUCCCCGAAUCUACCCCAUCUGCUAUUGACUCCUCUUGAGUCAAAUAUAUAGUUCUUAUUUCAACAUGCUGUGCUCAGUGAAAGCUCAAUAAAUAUUUAUUAAUGGUGGUGCCCAUGAUGAAUUAACAGCCAAAGCUAUAAAAUUAAAGUUUCACACAAGCAGAGAUCCUGGUGAGAAAGAAACUGCUACAUAAAGUUUGAAAUUUUUCAAAAUGACAAGCAUUCACGCAUGCACACACAUACACACUCAUAUACACUCACAAUCAUCCACACACAUACACUCUCACAUGGGCACACACCUUCACACACACAUACACACAAACACACUCUCACACACACACUCAUACAUACAUAUACUGUCUGGCAGAAGACCUCAGUUCU
Molecule: long non-coding RNA, 2204 nt
Organism: Mustela putorius furo (domestic ferret)
Lineage: Eukaryota; Metazoa; Chordata; Mammalia; Carnivora; Mustelidae
Source: Ensembl